This 781-nucleotide long non-coding RNA is filed under the name Lepisosteus oculatus (spotted gar). RNAcentral describes it as "lncRNA (ENSLOCG00000023010.1)". Lineage: Eukaryota; Metazoa; Chordata; Actinopteri; Semionotiformes; Lepisosteidae. The record is from RNAcentral.
AUUUUUCUGAGCAGCGGUGGAUUUAAAUACUUGCAUUGUUUCGCAUGAAGCAGCACAUUAAUGUGGAACAAAUCUGCCGGGGAGAAUGAAACCCUUCCGGCUGUGCGCAGGUCCUGCUCAAGAGGUGGGAGAAUCCCGGGAGAAUUUCUCGGGAUUCCAGCAGCGCGGAGCGGGAGAGACACCAGCUCAGGUCUGAGGAAGCACAGCACAGCUUCUCGUGGAGAUGGGAUCUCGGCUACGACGGGAAGCCGUGCAGAGGUCAGAGGUCACAGGAGCCGAGGAGAAGUCCGCUCUCGGGGAAUGAAGCGCUGGGGGGAGCAAGCGAGGGACCCGCCGGAAUGCGCCUUGAAUCCGGGGGGGGGAGGUCAGAGGUUAUCGGGCUGCUGCUUCAGGGGCCGUCAAGUGGCUGGAGACUGAGCGCUGUGUGGCAGUCCAGGAGCAACCCAGCCAGGUCUGUAACGAUUUUCUGGAUGCAUUAAUGACUUCUUAAUGCGUGGCAGGAAAGGCCAAACUCCUCCCCAGGAAGAGACCCUUUUUAAUUUCAAGGUCGUGCAGUUGAGAGAGCAGAAUUUUAAUCAGGCCCUGUUACGUUACAAUUGUAUAACAGGCGACCAAGGCCUGCUGUAGCAAAUUGUGCACAAAGGCGUUCAAAGGAACGUCCUACACUGGCAGACUGGAGGAACUGAGGCUUUUUAGACCCGAACAAAAGAUGAACACAAGAUAAUCUGAUCCCUUUCGAAUUUCACAUUCCUACCCAGAAUUAUUCUCUGGAAUUUUCUAA